Pteronotus mesoamericanus is the source of this 131-nucleotide small nucleolar RNA. RefSeq annotates it as small nucleolar RNA SNORA33. The transcript has a single exon. NCBI's taxonomy places the organism in Eukaryota, Metazoa, Chordata, Mammalia, Chiroptera, Mormoopidae. The record is from RefSeq and is a predicted model, not a curated record.
CAGCCAGCCAAUGUUUCUGCUUACUUGAAUGUGUUUCUGCAGAAAUUUAGAGAAAGCUGGCAAUAGCAAAGCCAUGUUAUGAGUCUUAAAGAUAAUUGAAGUCAUUAAGGUCCCUGAAAAUGGCUAUUUAA